RNAcentral lists this ribosomal RNA (163 nucleotides) under uncultured Pseudomonas sp. RNAcentral describes it as "partial 16S ribosomal RNA". The record is from RNAcentral. Lineage: Bacteria; Pseudomonadati; Pseudomonadota; Gammaproteobacteria; Pseudomonadales; Pseudomonadaceae.
UGAGGGCGAGCCUGAUCAGCCAUGCCGCGUGCGUGAUGACGGCCUUCGGGUUGGAAAGCUCUUUUUAUGGGAAGAAAACCCCCCGGCGUAUACGCGUUGACUUGACCGUACCCAUAAAAAUCGGCCUCGGUCCAUUCCGUGCCCCCCGGCGCUGCGAUACGAA